CUUCCCCAUUUAGAAAAGAGGAACCUUCUUGGUCUAGGGUAGAGUGGAGCAGCAGAGCUGCCUUCUUCCUCAGCUGCGGCUUCAUCUUCCAUGCUCCUUCCAGGCCACCCCAUCCUGUUUCGUCUCUAUGAUUUCUGCAAUAACAUGCAGAAGAGCUGGAUCAUCUUCACACUGACACAAGGAAAUCUCAGUUGUGCCACGGCCUGCUUUUUUCCAGCAGGAAUUCUUAAGGGCCUGGGGGCCUGGGGCAGCAGUGAAGGCUGGAGGAGGCUCAUGGAGCUGUACAGGUUCGCAGGGGCUGCUGUGGUUUAGGGAAGAAGGAGAGGAUGUUGCUUAAUGUCACCUGCCUUGUGUGCUAACCUCAGUGUUGCUAUGGUUUCAGCCUCCCACUCCACUUGGAGAGAGAGGCCAGGAGCCCACCUGCCUCUGCAGCCCACCUGCCUCUGCAGCCCAGGGUGGGAAUGUAACCGUUGCUGCUGUACUCACAUCUGACCUUCCUUCAGCUGAUCUUCGCCCCUUUUACCAGAUCUCCUCUUUCACUUUACAAUUUCAGAAGCCUCAGAUUACAAUCCUCUCCAUUCCCUCAAACAGUUGCAUCUGGCAAUAGUGACCAUGGCUGCCCCAUUGGAAGGGACUGUUAACAGAAAAGGGCAUGAGGCCUUAGGAGGAGGGGAGCUACGUCUUCAUAACACUAAC
This 696-nucleotide long non-coding RNA is filed under the name Homo sapiens (human). RNAcentral describes it as "LHRI_LNC1626.1". Lineage: Eukaryota; Metazoa; Chordata; Mammalia; Primates; Hominidae. The record is from RNAcentral.